This 253-nucleotide ribosomal RNA is filed under the name uncultured bacterium. RNAcentral's name for it is "partial 16S ribosomal RNA". It matches the Rfam family "Bacterial small subunit ribosomal RNA", at positions 524 to 776 of the family's 1533-position model. The record is from RNAcentral.
CACGUAGGGCGCAAGCGUUGUCCGGAAUUAUUGGGCGUAAAGAGUUCGUAGGCGGUCUGUUGCGUCCGCUGUGAAAACUCGGGGCUUAACCCCGAGCCUGCAGUGGAUACGGGCAGACUAGAGGUAGGUAGGGGAGAAUGGAAUUCCCGGUGUAGCGGUGAAAUGCGCAGAUAUCGGGAGGAACACCGGUGGCGAAGGCGGUUCUCUGGGCAUGAUCUGACGCUGAGGAGCGAAAGUGUGGGGAGCGAACAGG